RNAcentral lists this long non-coding RNA (205 nucleotides) under Vigna radiata. RNAcentral's name for it is "long non-coding RNA (VRAD_LNC015010)". The record is from RNAcentral. Lineage: Eukaryota; Viridiplantae; Streptophyta; Magnoliopsida; Fabales; Fabaceae.
GUGUUAGGAUAUUUAUCCUAUUUAUCAUGAUUAUAUUGUGUCUAGGGUUACUCUAAUUAUCAUAAUUAUAUUGUGUCUAGAUUACUCUAAUUAUCAUAAUUAUAUUGUGUCUAGAUUACUCUAAUUAUCAUAAUUAUAUUGUGUCUAGGUUACUCUAAUUAUCAUAAUUAUAUUGUGUUUAGGUUACUCUAAUUAUCAUGUACUC